AUCGUUAAUUACAAGAAUAAUAAGAUUACAACUACCCAACCCAAGAAUGAGAACAACACACCACAAUAUUUAAACCCUGCAAACAAACAACAAGCAGGAGACAAUGAAGUUGGUUAUAUUGAUCUGAAUGCAGGAGAACCAAUACCUAAUAAUGAUGUUAUAGUUCGGAAUUAUGAGGUGGUAAAGACAGAUUAUGAAGAAAUAAUGCAAAGUAACGAGAAACCAAAGAAUGA
This is a non-coding RNA of Ciona intestinalis (vase tunicate), 233 nucleotides long. Lineage: Eukaryota; Metazoa; Chordata; Ascidiacea; Phlebobranchia; Cionidae. The record is from RefSeq and is a predicted model, not a curated record.